Molecule: transfer RNA, 92 nt
Filed under: Breoghania sp. L-A4
Lineage: Bacteria; Pseudomonadati; Pseudomonadota; Alphaproteobacteria; Hyphomicrobiales; Stappiaceae
Description: tRNA-Ser
Rfam family: tRNA
About the family: Transfer RNA (tRNA) molecules are approximately 80 nucleotides in length. Their secondary structure includes four short double-helical elements and three loops (D, anti-codon, and T loops).
Source: RNAcentral
GGAGAGGUGGCCGAGUGGUCGAAGGCGCUCCCCUGCUAAGGGAGUAGGCGGGUUAAACUGUCUCGAGGGUUCGAAUCCCUUCCUCUCCGCCA